RNAcentral lists this ribosomal RNA (570 nucleotides) under uncultured Glomeromycotina. RNAcentral describes it as "SSU rRNA". It matches the Rfam family "Eukaryotic small subunit ribosomal RNA", at positions 548 to 1114 of the family's 1831-position model. The record is from RNAcentral. Lineage: Eukaryota; Fungi; Glomeromycota.
UUGGAGGGCAAGUCUGGUGCCAGCAGCCGCGGUAAUUCCAGCUCCAAUAGCGUAUAUUAAAGUUGUUGCAGUUAAAAGGCUCGUAGUUGAAUUUCGGGAUUGGCACAUCGGUCGUGCCUUAAGGGGCAUGAACUGGUGUAGCCAAUUUCUCACCUUCUGGAGAACCGCGAUGUCCUUAAUUGGGUGCCGCGAGGAACCAGGACCUUUACUUUGAAAAAAUUAGAGUGUUUAAAGCAGGCAUUUUGCUUGAAUACAUUAGCAUGGAAUAAUAAAAUAGGACGGAUGAUUCUAUUUUGUUGGUUUCUAGGACCACCGUAAUGAUUAAUAGGGAUAGUUGGGGGCAUUAGUAUUCAAUUGUCAUAGGUGAAAUUCUUGGAUUUAUUGAAGACUAACUACUGCGAAAGCAUUUGCCAAGGAUGUUUUCAUUAAUCAAGAACGAAAGUUAGGGGAUCGAAGACGAUCAGAUACCGUCGUAGUCUUAACCAUAAACUAUGCCGACUAGGAAUCAGACGAUGUUAAUUCUUUAAUGACUCGUUUGGCACCUUACGGGAAACCAAAGUGUUUGGGUUC